UACGUAGGGACCAAGCGUUGUUCGGAUUUACUGGGCGUAAAGGGCGCGUAGGCGGCGUGGUAAGUCACUUGUGAAAUCUCUGAGCUUAACUCAGAACGGCCAAGUGAUACUGCUGUGCUAGAGUGCAGAAGGGGCAAUCGGAAUUCUUGGUGUAGCGGUGAAAUGCGUAGAUAUCAAGAGGAACACCUGAGGUGAAGACGGGUUGCUGGGCUGACGCUGACGCUGAGGCGCGAAAGCCAGGGGAGCAAACGGG
This 253-nucleotide ribosomal RNA is filed under the name uncultured bacterium. RNAcentral describes it as "partial 16S ribosomal RNA". It matches the Rfam family "Bacterial small subunit ribosomal RNA", at positions 524 to 776 of the family's 1533-position model. The record is from RNAcentral.